UACGUAGGGUGCGAGCGUUAAUCGGAAUUACUGGGCGUAAAGCGCGCGCAGGCGGUGAUGUAAGACAGUUGUGAAAUCCCCGGGCUCAACCUGGGAAUUGCAUCUGUGACUGCAUCGCUAGAGUACGGUAGAGGGGGAUGGAAUUCCGCGUGUAGCAGUGAAAUGCGUAGAUAUGCGGAGGAACACCGAUGGCGAAGGCGAUCCCCUGGGCCUGCACCGACGCUCAUGCACGAAAGUGUGGGGAGCAAACAGG
Molecule: ribosomal RNA, 253 nt
Filed under: uncultured bacterium
Lineage: Bacteria
Description: partial 16S ribosomal RNA
Rfam family: Bacterial small subunit ribosomal RNA
Source: RNAcentral